UUGGUGUUUUUAAAACCAGUUGUGGUUGUGUCUCUGCCUGGAGUCUUUUCAGCUUUUGAUAAUUGUUUUGUAUUCUUCCUAUCUUCUCUCUCCUCUAUAGAUGCCGAGGGGGAGCUGCUACAGCUGGAGGAGCGUGAGGUCUGACGCGUGUGCUUCUCCGUUGCCAGGAAGAAGUCGGCGAGGUGCUUCGGGGGCUCCCUGCUUCUCCUGCUCUUCACCAUGGAAGAGCUGACAAGCAUUUGCUAAACUGAAGGCAAUGAGGGAGAGGUUCUCCACAGGUGUAUGUUUGGCAAUGGGAAUGGCAAUUAAUCAUGCUGAAUCAACCUCCAGGAAUUUCUACACCCAAACCUCCAAAUUUUCUGAGAUCUGGUUCCAAGGCCUCUAAGAAUAUGUUCUCUGAGUACAAACUCAUGCCUUAUAUAAUACAGAUGUAUCCUCUAGUUUGUUCAUA
Molecule: long non-coding RNA, 451 nt
Organism: Bufo bufo (common toad)
Lineage: Eukaryota; Metazoa; Chordata; Amphibia; Anura; Bufonidae
Exons: 2
Source: RefSeq, a predicted model, not a curated record